GCUCGAUUAGUUCAACUGGAUAGAAUGUCUGCCUACGGAGCAGAUGGUCGUAGGUUCGAAUCCUGCAUCGGGUA
Molecule: transfer RNA, 74 nt
Filed under: Perkinsus marinus ATCC 50983
Lineage: Eukaryota; Perkinsozoa; Perkinsida; Perkinsidae
Rfam family: tRNA
About the family: Transfer RNA (tRNA) molecules are approximately 80 nucleotides in length. Their secondary structure includes four short double-helical elements and three loops (D, anti-codon, and T loops).
Source: Rfam by way of RNAcentral